RNAcentral lists this ribosomal RNA (429 nucleotides) under Acidobacteriota bacterium. RNAcentral's name for it is "Acidobacteria bacterium partial 16S ribosomal RNA". It matches the Rfam family "Bacterial small subunit ribosomal RNA", at positions 355 to 776 of the family's 1533-position model. Lineage: Bacteria; Pseudomonadati; Acidobacteriota. The record is from RNAcentral.
UGGGGUAUUUUGGACAAUGGGGUAAACCCUGAUCCAGCCAUCCCGCGUGUGCGAUGAAGGCCUUCGGGUUGUAAAGCACUUUUGGCAGGAAAGAAACGUCAUGGGUUAAUACCCCGUGAAACUGACGGUACCUGCAGAAUAAGCACCGGCUAACUACGUGCCAGCAGCCGCGGUAAUACGUAGGGUGCAAGCGUUAAUCGGAAUUACUGGGCGUAAAGCGUGCGCAGGCGGUUCGGAAAGAAAGAUGUGAAAUCCCAGAGCUCAACUUUGGAACUGCAUUUUUAACUACCGGGCUAGAGUGUGUCAGAGGGAGGUGGAAUUCCGCGUGUAGCAGUGAAAUGCGUAGAUAUGCGGAGGAACACCGAUGGCGAAGGCAGCCUCCUGGGAUAACACUGACGCUAAUGCACGAAAGCGUGGGGAGCAAACAGG